This is a non-coding RNA of Pelobates cultripes (western spadefoot toad), 309 nucleotides long. The record is from the annotation of a GenBank genome assembly. NCBI's taxonomy places the organism in Eukaryota, Metazoa, Chordata, Amphibia, Anura, Pelobatidae.
GUAUAUGCUGAAAUAAAAACAAGAUCAGUGGGCAGCUGAAGCAUGCAUAAAACACCAAGUGGUCAGGCAAAAUAUAUACAAUAUAAUGUAAUCAGCAAAUUUAUACUUGCACUUGUACACAGGAACAGUUUAAUCUAGAAUACAUAAAAACAAGAACCUAGUGCAACAGUAUAAAGUCUUUUGUAGAGUAUAUGAUAAGUAUAAAACUCACAAUUGUGGAGUGGUUGAAGUACCACUCCAAACUAUCAGGCUCUGGGAGGAUCAGCCCCUGGAGAACGUAGGAUCCAAGUGCAGUGUGCUUGAUGAACU